GCCAGAGAGUAAACAAGAUAAAAAAUAAAUCCAUAAACAAAAGCAACAUUCAUAAGUUCAAAGUCUAAAAUCUAUAAAAAAAAAAAAACUAAGAUAAAUCCAGGCUUAGAGUUUCAUUCCCCUAAAAUGCCUUUUAUAGGUCUUAAAAAUGAUGUCGACCCAAUAACUCUGGGUCAACCCAUAAAAAUAUGGGUAAAAAAGCUGGUCAAUUGCUGAUGUGUAGCGUAACGACCUGUGUAUAGGCUGCUAGGCAAGAUGCUACAGCCCCUCCAUAGCGGCCUGUGUAUAGGCACUACAUACCCCUCUUUAGCAGCAUGUCUAUAGGCAGCCGCUAUGCCUCCUGUCUAAUUUGUUCUUCAUUUCUGAGUCGCUGAAGUGGUUGUGCAUUGGCCGCUAGGUGUAGGUCCCUAUGCCCCUGGUUUCUUGACGGGCAUUUGAAAUUCCUGUAGCGGCAGUGAAUAGGCCGCUAGACACACCAUCCGUAUAGGUCGCUAGUUUAGGCUGCUACGAGCUUUCUCGACUCCAAAAUUUCUAUUUUGCUAAUAUAUACUCCUUUUCCAAAAACUUCCAUUCACCUAAGUAUCUAUUCCACAAGGUCCACAAUGCAAAUGUACAUGCAAACCCAUUAAAUGCACCUAAAUUUAUUGUAAAUGAAUUGAAAACAUGAGAAUGAGGAAGUUAUAACCAUGAAAAUAUUGUAAAGGAAUGAUCAAAGAAUUG
Molecule: long non-coding RNA, 720 nt
Filed under: Brassica napus (rape)
Lineage: Eukaryota; Viridiplantae; Streptophyta; Magnoliopsida; Brassicales; Brassicaceae
Description: long non-coding RNA (BNAP_LNC006702)
Source: RNAcentral